RNAcentral lists this long non-coding RNA (335 nucleotides) under Rattus norvegicus (Norway rat). Its description in RNAcentral is "long non-coding RNA NONRATT029835". The record is from RNAcentral. Lineage: Eukaryota; Metazoa; Chordata; Mammalia; Rodentia; Muridae.
GGUCUCGGAGGGAAGGAUGAGAGCCAACUAGUUAAAUCUGGUAAAGCCGUGUCAGAGGCAAUCAAACACCUGAAAGAAAGAAGCAUAGCAUUUCCUUCAUACAUCAUGGAAACAAAACUACAACUAAAAUAUUUGGAAAUGGGAGUUAUCAUAAAAAAAAAAAAUCACAUUAUGCCUGAAGGAAUUGAAAUUGCUUAGCAAUAUUUCCGAUAUGGCUCUAGCCCACUGAAGAAACUUGUUAUUUAAGAAGAAGCACUUUUAGAGACCGAAGUCAACAGACCAUUACACUAAGAAAUGUUCCAAAUGUCCAAAUGUCAUUAAAUAAUUAUAAAUAU